UACGGAGGAUGCGAGCGUUAUCCGGAUUUAUUGGGUUUAAAGGGUGCGUAGGCGGACUGUCAAGUCAGCGGUAAAAUUGAGAGGCUCAACCUCUUCCCGCCGUUGAAACUGCUGGUCUUGAGUGGAUGAGAAGUACGCGGAAUGCGUGGUGUAGCGGUGAAAUGCAUAGAUAUCACGCAGAACUCCGAUUGCGAAGGCAGCGUACCGGCAUCCAACUGACGCUGAGGCACGAAAGCGUGGGGAUCAAACAGG
Molecule: ribosomal RNA, 252 nt
Filed under: uncultured bacterium
Lineage: Bacteria
Description: partial 16S ribosomal RNA
Rfam family: Bacterial small subunit ribosomal RNA
Source: RNAcentral